This is a long non-coding RNA of Nematostella vectensis (starlet sea anemone), 6270 nucleotides long. RefSeq lists it as uncharacterized. The record is from RefSeq and is a predicted model, not a curated record. NCBI's taxonomy places the organism in Eukaryota, Metazoa, Cnidaria, Anthozoa, Actiniaria, Edwardsiidae. The transcript has 2 exons.
CCUGCAACAUAUUAAACAAGUUGUGUUAGCCAUUGUGAUGACAAUGUAGAUAAUAGAAUUUCCUCAUACUUGAAUCCUAGGGCUGGUCAUGAUAUUUCACAAAAAUAAAUCAUCCUCUUAAAAUAGAAAAUCGGUUAUUUCAUACAAGAUGGCUCACUUUUCACAAAACUUAUUAAAAAGAGACUGAUUAAAAUUCAGUUCGAAAAUAAGCUGGCUGAGAGUCAACCAUUUCAUUGAUAAAAAAUAAUAGCAGUUUCAUUUCAGUUUGUCAAGACUUCAUCAGGAAUGGCUGUGUAUUAAAUUGCAAGUGACGAAUUAUAUUUUUUACAGAUAUUACAGAAGAUGUACGUCUGAUAUCGCACGGAAAACAUGCUCUAUCCCUUUGACUUGUGUACCACAAAAAGUAACCUGGCUUGGCAAAAACCUACACUAGCAAACAGAUGUUUAUAGGGAUUUUUUUUACAAUGAGGGAAGGCAAAAAGAUCUUGCUUUUGCCAAUAAUGUUCAUAAACUUACUGUAUCUUGUCUCAAGGGAACACUCAAGACAGUCUCCUUCAAAUUUGGAAGAUGUUUUACAGUUCGAAGCUCGUUCUUUUGUAAUUUGGGAGAAUUUCUACAAUUUCGAAGGUUGUGUUCUCCUGAAAUUUGUAAGAUUUUUUUCUCAAGCAUCAACUAUACUUCCAAAAUCACUUAAAUCUGAGCUUGAAUUACCGUGAUUGUCGAAACAAGGCUGAGGUAAGUCAGCCUUGUAACUAUACUAGUAACUAUACUUCCCAAAUCCCCUAUAUCUGGGCUUGAAUUACUGUGAUUGGUGAACCAAGGCUGAGGUAAGUCAGCCUUGUAACUAUACUUCCCAAAUCCCCUAUACCUGGGCUUGAAUUACCAUGAUUGGUGAAACGAGGAUGAGGUAAGUCAGCCUUGUAACUAUACUAGUAACUAUACUUCCCAAAUCCCCUAUAUCUGGGCUUGAAUUACUGUGAUUGGUGAACCAAGGCUGAGGUAAGUCAGCCUUGUAACUAUACUUCCCAAAUCCCCUAUACCUGGGCUUGAAUUACCGUGAUUGGUGAAACGAGGCUAAGUUAAGUCAGCCUUGUAACCACACCAGUAACUAUACUUCCCAAAUCCCCUAUAUCUGAGCUUGAAUUACUGUGAUUGGUGAAGCGAGGAUGAGGUAAGUCAGCGUUGUAACUAUACUAGUAACUAUACUUCCCAAAUCCCCUAUAUCUGAGCUUGAAUUACUGUGAUUGGUGAACCAAGGCUGAGGUAAGUCAGCCUUGUAACUAUACUUCCCAAAUCCCCUAUACCUGGGCUUGAAUUACCGUGAUUGGUGAAACGAGGAUGAGGUAAGUCAGCCUUGUAACUAUACUAGUAACUAUACUUCCCAAAUCCCCUAUAUCUGAGCUUGAAUUACCGUGAUUGGUGAAACAAGGCUGAGGUAAGUCAGCCUUGUAACUAUACUAGUAACUAUACUUCCCAAAACCCCUAUAUCUGGGCUUGAAUUACUGUGAUUGGUGAAAUAUGGCUAAGGUAAGUCAGUCUUGUAACUAUACUAGUAACUAUACUUCCAAAAUCCCCUAUAUCUGAGCUUGAAUUACUGUGAUUGGUGAACCAAGGCUGAGGUAAGCCAGCCUUGUAACUAUACUAGUAACUAUACUUCCAAAAUCCCUUAUAUCUGAGUUGAAUUACUGUGAUUGGUGAAACAAGACUGAGGUAAGUCAGCCUUGUAACUAUACUAGUAACUAUACUUCCCAAAUCCCCUAUACCUGGGCUUGAAUUACUGUGAUUGGUGAACCAAGGCUGAGGUAAGUCAGCGUUGUAACUAUACUAGUAACUAUACUUCCCAAAUCCCCUAUAUCCGAGUUGAAUUACUGUGAUUGGUGAAACAAGACUGAGGUAAGUCAGCCUUGUAACUAUACUAGUAACUAUACUUCCCAAAUCCCCUAUAUCUGGGCUUGAAUUACCGUGAUUGGUGAACCAAGGCUGAGGUAAGUCAGCGUUGUAACUAUACUAGUAACUAUACUUCCCAAAUCCCCUAUACCUGGGCUUGAAUUACUGUGAUUGGUGAACCAAGGCUGAGGUAAGUCAGCGUUGUAACUAUACUAGUAACUAUACUUCCCAAAUCCCCUAUACCUGGGCUUGAAUUACUGUGAUUGGUGAAACAAGACUGAGGUAAGUCAGCCUUGUAACUAUACUAGUAACUAUACUUCCCAAAUCCCCUAUACCUGGGCUUGAAUUACUGCGAUUGGUGAAACAAGACUGAGGUAAGUCAGCCUUGUAACUAUACUAGUAACUAUACUUCCCAAAUCCUCUAUAUCUGGGCUUGAAUUACCGUGAUUGGUGAACCAAGGCUGAGGUAAGUCAGCAUUGUAACUAUACUAGUAACUAUACUUCCCAAAUCCCCUAUACCUGGGCUUGAAUUACUGUGAUUGGUGAACCAAGGCUGAGGUAAGUCAGCGUUGUAACUAUACUAGUAACUAUACUUCCCAAAUCCCCUAUACCUGGGCUCGAAUUACUGUGAUUGGUGAACCAAGGCUGAGGUAAGUCAGCCUUGUAGCUAUACUUCCCAAAUCCCCUAUACCUGGGCUUGAAUUACCGUGAUUGGUGAAACGAGGAUGAGGUAAGUCAGCCUUGUAACUAUACUUCCCAAAUCCCCUAUACCUGGGCUUGAAUUACUGUGAUUGGUGAAACGAGGCUAAGGUAAGUCAGCCUUGUAACCACACCAGUAACUAUACUUCCCAAAUCCCCUAUAUCUGAGCUUGAAUUACUGUGAUUGGUGAAACGAGGAUGAGGUAAGUCAGCGUUGUAACUAUACUAGUAACUACACUUCCAAAAUCCCUUAUAUCUUAGUUGAAUUACUGUGAUUGGUGAAACAAGACUGAGGUAAGUCAGCCUUGCAACUAUACUAGUAACUAUACUUCUCAAAUCCCCUAUAUCUGGGCUUGAAUUACCGUGAUUGGUGAAACAAGACUGAGGUAAGUCAGCCUUGUAACUAUACUAGUAACUAUACUUCCCAAAUCCCCUAUACCUGGGCUUGAAUUACUGUGAUUGGUGAAACAAGACUGAGGUAAGUCAGCCUUGUAACUAUACUAGUAACUAUACUUCCCAAAUCCUCUAUAUCUGGGCUUGAAUUACUGUGAUUGGUGAACCAAGGCUGAGGUAAGUCAGCCUUGUAACUAUACUAGUAACUAUACUUCCCAAAUCCCCUAUACCUGGGCUUGAAUUACUGUGAUUGGUGAACCAAGGCUGAGGUAAGUCAGCAUUGUAACUAUACUAGUAACUAUACUUCCCAAAUCCCCUAUACCUGGGCUUGAAUUACUGUGAUUGGUGAAACAAGACUGAGGUAAGUCAGCCUUGUAACUAUACUAGUAACUAUACUUCCCAAAUCCCCUAUACCUGGGCUUGAAUUACUGCGAUUGGUGAAACAAGACUGAGGUAAGUCAGCCUUGUAACUAUACUAGUAACUAUACUUCCCAAAUCCCCUAUACCUGGGCUUGAAUUACUGCGAUUGGUGAAACAAGACUGAGGUAAGUCAGCCUUGUAACUAUACUAGUAACUAUACUUCCCAAAUCCUCUAUAUCUGGGCUUGAAUUACCGUGAUUGGUGAACCAAGGCUGAGGUAAGUCAGCAUUGUAACUAUACUUCCCAAAUCCCCUAUACCUGGGCUUGAAUUACCGUGAUUGGUGAAACGAGGCUAAGUUAAGUCAGCCUUGUAACCACACCAGUAACUAUACUUCCCAAAUCCCCUAUAUCUGAGCUUGAAUUACUGUGAUUGGUGAACCAAGGCUGAGGUAAGUCAGCCUUGUAGCUAUACUUCCCAAAUCCCCUAUACCUGGGCUUGAAUUACCGUGAUUGGUGAAACAAGGAUGAGGUAAGUCAGCCUUGUAACUAUACUUCCCAAAUCCCCUAUACCUGGGCUUGAAUUACUGUGAUUGGUGAACCAAGGCUAAGGUAAGUCAGCCUUGUAACCACACCAGUAACUAUACUUCCCAAAUCCCCUAUAUCUGAGCUUGAAUUACUGUGAUUGGUGAAACGAGGAUGAGGUAAGUCAGCGUUGUAACUAUACUAGUAACUACACUUCCAAAAUCCCUUAUAUCUUAGUUGAAUUACUGUGAUUGGUGAAACAAGACUGAGGUAAGUCAGCCUUGCAACUAUACUAGUAACUAUACUUCUCAAAUCCCCUAUAUCUGGGCUUGAAUUACCGUGAUUGGUGAAACAAGACUGAGGUAAGUCAGCCUUGUAACUAUACUAGUAACUAUACUUCCCAAAUCCCCUAUACCUGGGCUUGAAUUACUGUGAUUGGUGAAACAAGACUGAGGUAAGUCAGCCUUGUAACUAUACUAGUAACUAUACUUCCCAAAUCCUCUAUAUCUGGGCUUGAAUUACUGUGAUUGGUGAACCAAGGCUGAGGUAAGUCAGCCUUGUAACUAUACUAGUAACUAUACUUCCCAAAUCCUCUAUAUCUGGGCUUGAAUUACUGUGAUUGGUGAACCAAGGCUGAGAUAAGUCAGCGUUGUAACUAUACUAGUAACUAUACUUCCCAAAUCCCCUAUAUCUGAGUUGAAUUAUUGUGAUUGGUGAAACAAGACUGAGGUAAGUCAGCGUUGUAACUAUACUAGUAACUAUACUUCCCAAAUCCUCUAUAUCUGGGCAUGAAUUACUGUGAUUAGUGAACCAAGGCUGAGGUAAGUCAGCCUUGUAACUAUACUAGUAACUAUACUUCCCAAAUCCCCUAUACCUGGGCUUGAAUUACCGUGAUUAGUGAACCAAGGCUGAGGUAAGUCAGCCUUGUAACUAUACUAGUAACUAUACUUCCCAAAUCCCCUAUACCUGGGCUUGAAUUACCGUGAUUUGUGAAACGAGGAUGAGGUAAGUCAGCCUUGUAACUAUACUAGUAACUAUACUUCCCAAAUCCCCUAUACCUGGGCUUGAAUUACUGUGAUUGUGGAACGAGGAUGAGGUAAUUCAGCCUUGUAACUAUACUAGUAACUAUACUUCCCAAAUCCCCUAUAUCUGAGCUUGAAUUACUGUGAUUGGUGAACCAAGGCUGAGGUAAGUCAGAGAGGGCCUUGGCAAUUACCCGUGAGAGGCCUUAAAUAAAGUAUUUAGAAGUAUAGAAACUCAUUUGAUUGGUCUACCCUUUGUCAUGUCAUAGCUUAUUUUUUCCUUUUAGAAUAGGAGAGCUAAUGCAAACAGUAAAAGUUGGUAUAGUUAAAUAUAUUUUUAUUAAUUUUUUUUUCUUAAUGUCUUGCCUGAUGGGUAACCCCAUUUUUGCUGGGAUGGACGCCUUCUGCAGAGCUCUGCCAUUUUUGACAAUUUAAAUCAUUUCUCAUCCAUCAAAGAGUGCUCUUACAAAUCACUUGUCCGCCCUCAUUUGGAAUAUGAAAAUUGCGUGUGAGACCCUCUGCUCAACAAGAAACGUAAAACAAAUUGAGUGUGUUUAAUGCAGAUCUGCACAUUUUGUAAAAAAAAUGCUCGCUCCAGGUACAAUGACUGAGAUGCUAAGUGAACUUGAAUGGCCCUCACUUCACCAAGUAAGGAGAAAUGCUGACCUAACGAUAUUUUAUAAGGCUGCCCAUGGUGACACCCUCCUUAUAUUAAUAAACGUUAACGCGAACUUAGAGGAUAUCAUGUAAACAAAUUUAUCGAACUCAGCCCAAACACAGAGGCAUUAGGAAUUCAUUUUAUUGUAAGAUGGUAAGAGUGGAAAAACUUACCUAUAACCACUCUAGAAUCCACUUAAGUUAGUGUAAUUUAUUACUUAUUUGUAUGUUCAGUAAGUGUUUUUGUGAUUUUGGCAUUGCUGCUUUGAUUUUUGCCUCUAAGGGGAUGUUUAAUUUUUUUUCUGAUUCUGCUAUCUCUUAGGGUUAAAAAUUCCUUCAACCAAACCCAAUAAGCUAUCUUUUAGGGGUAAGAAUUUCUGUUGACCACUCCCAAUGUCCCAUCCCUUAGGGUUAUAAUCGAUUUUGCCAACGAUAACCCCAGUCUGUUUUAUUGAAGGUGUUUACAUUUUGCAAGGCCCUCCGUAUGUAGAUGUAGCUAUGUAAUAUUUUCCUGUAUGGGGCAUUAUAGGGAUCCAAUUGGCUUAUCACAAGGAUUACUCAAUUUAAACAUGAAUUUUAUAGAUGUGGAUUUUAUCAGAUAAUUUAUUCAAGCGUACCUUUUUGCAGUAGUCUACUACUUUUGGCCAUCGACCUGUCUCAAAAUGACACGCUUAGGGCAAAGAGACAUCAAAUGUUAGUAUUGAUAAUGCUCCCAAUGAAGUGAACAAAA